AACGCGAAGAACCUUACCAGGGUUUGACAUGCAUGCGACAUCCCUUGAAAGAGGGCUCCCUUCGGGGCGCAUGCACAGGUGCUGCAUGGCUGUCGUCAGCUCGUGCCGUGAGGUGUCGGGUUAAGUCCUCUAACGAGCGCAACCCCUAUGGCUAGUUGAAUCUUUCUAGUCAGACUGCCACCACAAAGUGGAGGAAGGUGGGGAUGACGUCAAGUCAGCACGGCCCUUACAUCCUGGGCGACACACACGCUACAAUGGUCGGUACAAAGGGAGGCCAACCCGCGAGGGGGAGCCAAUCUUCAAAACCGGUCUCAGUUCGGAUUGUAGGCUGCAACCCGCCUGCAUGAAGCUGGAGUUGCUAGUAACCGUGAGUCAGCACAUCACGGUGAAUACGUUCCCGGGCCUUGUACACACCGGUAUCUC
This 423-nucleotide ribosomal RNA is filed under the name uncultured bacterium. RNAcentral's name for it is "bacterial SSU rRNA". It matches the Rfam family "Bacterial small subunit ribosomal RNA", at positions 958 to 1400 of the family's 1533-position model. The record is from RNAcentral.